This 642-nucleotide ribosomal RNA is filed under the name Ganoderma sp. 2 YD-2015. RNAcentral describes it as "eukaryotic LSU rRNA". The stretch from base 253 to 406 matches the Rfam family "5.8S ribosomal RNA". Lineage: Eukaryota; Fungi; Basidiomycota; Agaricomycetes; Polyporales; Polyporaceae. The record is from RNAcentral.
AGUAAAAGUCGUAACAAGGUUUCCGUAGGUGAACCUGCGGAAGGAUCAUUAUCGAGUUUUGACUGGGUUGUAGCUGGCCUUCCGAGGCAUGUGCACGCCCUGCUCAUCCACUCUACACCUGUGCACUUACUGUGGGCUUCAGAUCGUAAAACGGGUCCCUUUACCGGGCUUGCGGAGCGUGUCUGUGCCUGCGUUUAUCACAAACUCUAUAAAGUAUCAGAAUGUGUAUUGCGAUGUAACGCAUCUAUAUACAACUUUCAGCAACGGAUCUCUUGGCUCUCGCAUCGAUGAAGAACGCAGCGAAAUGCGAUAAGUAAUGUGAAUUGCAGAAUUCAGUGAAUCAUCGAAUCUUUGAACGCACCUUGCGCUCCUUGGUAUUCCGAGGAGCAUGCCUGUUUGAGUGUCAUGAAAUCUUCAACCUGCAAGCUUUUGUGGUUUGUAGGCUUGGACUUGGAGGCUUGUCGGCCGUUGUUGGUCGGCUCCUCUUAAAUGCAUUAGCUUGGUUCCUUGCGGAUCGGCUCUCAGUGUGAUAAUGUCUACGCUGCGACCGUGAAGCGUUUGGCGAGCUUCUAACCGUCUCAGUUGGAGACAACUUUAUGACCUCUGACCUCAAAUCAGGUAGGACUACCCGCUGAACUUAAG